AUGUUGCGUUAGGGAUUGAAGUGAAAAUCCUUUUAUCGCGCCAGCAGCGUGAUAAAAGAUUGAAACGUAAAGCCCGACCUGAG
This 83-nucleotide small RNA is filed under the name Nonlabens sp. Hel1_33_55. Its description in RNAcentral is "Flavo-1 RNA". It matches the Rfam family "Flavo-1 RNA". The record is from RNAcentral. Lineage: Bacteria; Pseudomonadati; Bacteroidota; Flavobacteriia; Flavobacteriales; Flavobacteriaceae.